AAACGCCCGGUUACAUUCCGAACCCGGAAGCUAAGCCUUUCAGCGCCGAUGGUACUGCAUGGGGGACCGUGUGGGAGAGUAGGACGCCGCCGAAC
Molecule: ribosomal RNA, 95 nt
Filed under: Streptomyces morookaense
Lineage: Bacteria; Bacillati; Actinomycetota; Actinomycetes; Kitasatosporales; Streptomycetaceae
Also listed under: 11 other names
Source: RNAcentral